Molecule: RNA transcript, 1358 nt
Organism: Contarinia nasturtii (swede midge)
Lineage: Eukaryota; Metazoa; Arthropoda; Insecta; Diptera; Cecidomyiidae
Gene name: serine protease easter-like
Exons: 9
Source: RefSeq, a predicted model, not a curated record
UCAAAAUGUAAUACCAAAACAAAAUUUAUUGAAGUGUAACACGCCGUGUUUCAUUUCAAUAAAAUUUGCGUUGGUACUACAAUUCAAUGAAAUCUUUAAGAUUUGUUACACAUUUCUAUGUUCUCAGAAGAAGACUCACUUUCAUUCUCAGACAUUCAUUUCAAUAAAACUUCGGGAGAAGUUUCAUAUUCAUUGUUAAGCACAUGAGUCUUGUUUGGGUUUUUUUCUUCAUGAUAUUAGCACAACAAUGUACCACACCAAGCAACACACCAGGCAAUUGCAGCAAUUUAUAUAGAUGUACGGUUCUUUACGAUAUUUACCAAAAUCCAGAUUCAACAACUGCUCAACAAAUAUAUCUAUCGGAUAGUUAUAAUGAUAAUUGUGGACACGGCAUGGUUUGCUGUCCAAUUGAAACACGACCCAUAUCUACACCAGCACCUGUUACAACAACAGCACCUGUUACAACAACCGUAAUCGAUACAUUACUACCUCGCGAUUGUGGAACGGAAAUAUUGGGUCCAAGAAUAUGGGAUGGUAAAAAUACUAGAAGACUUGAUUUCCCCUGGCUGGUUUUAAUCGAACACACACAUUUUGACGGUGAAAAAUUCUUAGAUUGUGGUGGUUCCCUCAUCAAUAAUUUAUAUGUUGUAACAGCUGCACACUGCUUGGGUACGCAAAGCCAUAAAUUGACAGCCGUUCGACUUGGAGAAUGGAAUACCGCGACAGAUCCAGAUUGUGACGAUGACGGACAAUGCUCCGCCCCAGUUCAAUACAUUCGUGUUGUAGAACAAAUUCGACAUGAGAACUAUAAUCGAUAUUCGAAUAAUCUCGAAAAUGAUAUUGGUUUGCUACGAUUAGAAAGACCGAUUACGUUUUCAAACUGGAUCAAACCUAUUUGUCUCCCUAUUUCGGAUGAGACGAUCAACGGAAAUGUAGAUCGUGAACCAUACGUGGUCUCUGGAUGGGGAAUAACACAGGCAGGGGCUUUGAGUAUUAUCAAACAAAAGGCUGAAAUAGGUGGUGUUUCGAUUAAUAAAUGUAACAGAUCGUAUCAAAAACUAGGCAUUAUCUUGACAACCAACCAUCUAUGUGCUGGUGGUGAAGGAAUUGAUGCGUGUAAUGGUACAACUCAAUUGUAUUUCAAAGGGAUUCGGGCGGACCUCUGAUGGCAAUGCAUCGUAACAAUAGUACCACUUACUAUUUCUUAGCAGGAAUUAUCUCAUUUGGCACAAAAACCUGUGGAUUACAAGGAUGGCCAGGGGUAUAUACCCGUGUCGAUAAAUAUGUUGAUUGGAUAAGAACCAAAAUACGACCAUGAAAAUUAACACAGAGACAUUAACACGAGAAUCAAAGAACCA